CCAUGUGAUGAUCCAUUUUUAACCCCGAGAACUUGUUUGCUCCAUGAAGAACAAAAUCAUGCAACAACACUCUAAUUUUUUACUGACC
This is a small nucleolar RNA of Fonsecaea pedrosoi CBS 271.37, 88 nucleotides long. It matches the Rfam family "A. fimigatus snoRNA Afu_298". The record is from Rfam. Lineage: Eukaryota; Fungi; Ascomycota; Eurotiomycetes; Chaetothyriales; Herpotrichiellaceae.